RNAcentral lists this ribosomal RNA (375 nucleotides) under uncultured bacterium. Its description in RNAcentral is "bacterial SSU rRNA". It matches the Rfam family "Bacterial small subunit ribosomal RNA", at positions 523 to 897 of the family's 1533-position model. The record is from RNAcentral.
AUACGUAGGGAGCGAGCGUUGUCCGGAUUUACUGGGUGUAAAGGGUGCGUAGGCGGCUCUGCAAGUCAGGCGUGAAAUACAUGGGCUUAACCCAUGGACUGCGUUUGAGACUGUGGAGCUUGAGUGAAGUAGAGGUAGGCGGAAUUCCCGGUGUAGCGGUGAAAUGCGUAGAGAUCGGGAGGAACACCAGUGGCGAAGGCGGCCUACUGGGCUUUAAAUGACGCCGAAGCACGAAAGCAUGGGUAGCAAACAGGAUUAGAUUCCCUGGUAGUCCAUGCCGUAAACGAUGAUUACUAGGUGUGGGGGGUCUGACCCCUUCCGUGCCGGAGUUAACACAAUAAGUAAUCCACCUGGGGAGUACGGCCGCAAGGUUGA